This 86-nucleotide transfer RNA is filed under the name Colletotrichum trifolii. It matches the Rfam family "tRNA". From Rfam's summary of the family: Transfer RNA (tRNA) molecules are approximately 80 nucleotides in length. Their secondary structure includes four short double-helical elements and three loops (D, anti-codon, and T loops). Further hydrogen bonds mediate the characteristic L-shaped molecular structure. tRNAs have two regions of fundamental functional importance: the anti-codon, which is responsible for specific mRNA codon recognition, and the 3' end, to which the tRNAs corresponding amino acid is attached (by aminoacyl-tRNA synthetases). tRNAs cope with the degeneracy of the genetic code in two manners: having more than one tRNA (with a specific anti-codon) for a particular amino acid; and 'wobble' base-pairing, i.e. permitting non-standard base-pairing at the 3rd anti-codon position. The record is from Rfam by way of RNAcentral. Lineage: Eukaryota; Fungi; Ascomycota; Sordariomycetes; Glomerellales; Glomerellaceae. RNAcentral also lists the same sequence under 1 other name.
GGGCAUAUGAUGUAGUGGUAUCAUAUUCGCUUUGCAUUGCUCUCCUUGCUUGCGAAAGGUCCUGGGUUCAAUCCCCAGUGUGUCCA